RNAcentral lists this ribosomal RNA (372 nucleotides) under uncultured organism. Its description in RNAcentral is "bacterial SSU rRNA". It matches the Rfam family "Bacterial small subunit ribosomal RNA", at positions 526 to 896 of the family's 1533-position model. The record is from RNAcentral.
CGUAGGGUGCGAGCGUUAAUCGGAAUUACUGGGCGUAAAGUGUGCGCAGGUGGCCGCGCAAGUCGAGUGUGAAAUCCCCGAGCUUAACUUGGGAAUUGCGCUCGAAACUACGUGGCUCGAGUGUGGCAGAGGAAGGUGGAAUUCCACGUGUAGCGGUGAAAUGCGUAGAGAUGUGGAGGAACACCGAUGGCGAAGGCAGCCUUCUGGGCCAACACUGACGCUCAUGCACGAAAGCGUGGGGAGCAAACAGGAUUAGAUACCCUGGUAGUCCACGCCCUAAACGAUGAUGACUAAUUGUUGGGGGAGUUAAAUCCCUUAGUAACGCAGCUAACGCGUGAAGUCAUCCGCCUGGGGAGUACGGUCGCAAGAUUA